CUCCCUUUCCCAUUCUCUGCAGACCAUCUCCUAAACCCCUUAUCUAUCACUAAUUAAUUAAGACAUACAUUUUGCUCAGUGGGAACAACUUAGUAGUUGUUUUAAUUUUCUGAAGACCGUAUGUAGUUUUGGAAGAUUCUCUUGUUUUGAAUUUCUAAUAUUUUCAAAUUCAUUAUCAUCUCGAUUAAGUCAAAGCAAUAUAAUGUAGUGAAACUAUAUCAGACUAGGUUACAUUUCAUAGAUAAAAGAACACUUAAUCAACAAAUGAAUAUAUAUGUAAAAAAGAAGAAAAUGAAUUUCGUGUUUGGGUUCAUUUGGUAUUUUAUACAUAUUUUUUUUUUUUCACAGGGAACAACUUUGAAAAUGGUAAAUGUUGUGAGAGCUUUACUAAAAGGGGAGAAGCUAAUAAGGGGAGUAUCGUGAUGGGCCUCUUGUUGAGUACCAAGCCAAUAUGUACAUGCACAGAAAAUGUUAAAGAGUGUUUGGAACGACAUAUUAGAUCAUCACUAUAUGAAUGGUAGACUUUGUUGCCAUAAUUAAUACUAAUUACAAAUCUGCUGAACCUUAAAUUUGUCUUCUACAUACAUAUUUUACAAGUCACGAGACUUCUUCUUCUAUAACUUGAAUUCGCA
Molecule: long non-coding RNA, 632 nt
Filed under: Capsella grandiflora
Lineage: Eukaryota; Viridiplantae; Streptophyta; Magnoliopsida; Brassicales; Brassicaceae
Description: long non-coding RNA (CGRA_LNC000314)
Source: RNAcentral